UAGGGAAUAUUGGACAAUGGGCGAAAGCCUGAUCCAGCAACGCCGCGUGCGCGAUGACGGCCUUCGGGUUGUAAAGCGCUUUUAGGAGAGAUGAGAAAGGACAGUAUCUCCAGAAUAAGCCUCGGCGAACUACGUGCCAGCAGCCGCGGUAAAACGUAGGAGGCGAGCGUUAUCCGGAUUUAUUGGGCGUAAAGCGUGUGCAGGCGGUCUAGCAAGUUGGAUGUGAAAGCUCCUGGCUUAACUGGGAGAGGUCGUUCAAAACUGCUAGACUAGAGAAUGGAAGAGGGAGGUGGAAUUCCGGGUGUAGUGGUGAAAUGCGUAGAUAUCCGGAGGAACACCAGUGGCGAAAGCGGCCUCCUAGGCCAUUUCUGACGCUAAGACACGAAAGCUAGGGUAGCAAACGG
RNAcentral lists this ribosomal RNA (404 nucleotides) under uncultured bacterium. RNAcentral's name for it is "bacterial SSU rRNA". It matches the Rfam family "Bacterial small subunit ribosomal RNA", at positions 355 to 775 of the family's 1533-position model. The record is from RNAcentral.